RNAcentral lists this ribosomal RNA (259 nucleotides) under uncultured bacterium. Its description in RNAcentral is "partial 16S ribosomal RNA". It matches the Rfam family "Bacterial small subunit ribosomal RNA", at positions 1234 to 1500 of the family's 1533-position model. The record is from RNAcentral.
GGGGUACGAGAGGGCCGCUACCACGCGAGUGGAUGCCAAUCCCUAAAACCCCUCUCAGUUCGGACUGGAGUCUGCAACCCGACUCCACGAAGCUGGAUUCGCUAGUAAUCGCGCAUCAGCCACGGCGCGGUGAAUACGUUCCCGGGCCUUGUACACACCGCCCGUCAAGCCAUGGGAGCCGGGGGUACCUGAAGUGCGUAACCGCGAGGAUCGCCCUAGGGUAAAACUGGUGACUGGGGCUAAGUCGUAACAAGGUAAC